GAUGAACGCUAGCUACAGGCUUAACACAUGCAAGUCGAGGGGAAACGACAUCGAAAGCUUGCUUUUGAUGGGCGUCGACCGGCGCACGGGUGAGUAACGCGUAUCCAACCUGCCCACCACUUGGGGAUAACCUUGCGAAAGUAAGACUAAUACCCAAUGAUAUCUCUAGAAGACAUCUGAAAGAGAUUAAAGAUUUAUCGGUGAUGGAUGGGGAUGCGUCUGAUUAGCUUGUUGGCGGGGUAGCGGCCCACCAAGGCGACGAUCAGUAGGGGUUCUGAGAGGAAGGUCCCCCACAUUGGAACUGAGACACGGUCCAAACUCCUACGGGAGGCAGCAGUGAGGAAUAUUGGUCAAUGGGCGAGAGCCUGAACCAGCCAAGUAGCGUGCAGGAUGACGGCCCUAUGGGUUGUAAACUGCUUUUAUAAGGGAAUAAAGUGAGCCUCGUGAGGCUUUUUGCAUGUACCUUAUGAAUAAGGACCGGCUAAUUCCGUGCCAGCAGCCG
RNAcentral lists this ribosomal RNA (502 nucleotides) under uncultured bacterium. RNAcentral describes it as "bacterial SSU rRNA". It matches the Rfam family "Bacterial small subunit ribosomal RNA", at positions 28 to 517 of the family's 1533-position model. The record is from RNAcentral.